Oncorhynchus masou masou (cherry salmon) is the source of this 200-nucleotide long non-coding RNA. RefSeq lists it as uncharacterized. The record is from RefSeq and is a predicted model, not a curated record. The transcript is spliced from 3 exons. Lineage: Eukaryota; Metazoa; Chordata; Actinopteri; Salmoniformes; Salmonidae.
UCUAGUUCACCACAAACGCACGCUCAGUCCACACAAAUUUAUUACCUCAGAAUCGCAAUCCAAGGCAAAGUAUUAUGAAGACUGAUCGCAACAUUGAGAAUUUCACAAUUCAAGGGGGAAGGAUGACCAGCCACACAGGAGGGGGACUUUUACUAAAGAGGAGGCCGUGCUGACAGAUGCAUGCUGGCCAUUUCGGAGUG